CCUGCCUCGGCAGGUCGGAAUGUGGCCACCCUCGUGGUGAAGGGACCGCCCCGGAACGGCUGAACCAUCGA
This 71-nucleotide non-coding RNA is filed under the name unclassified sequences. Its description in RNAcentral is "eL15-Euryarchaeota ribosomal protein leader". It matches the Rfam family "eL15-Euryarchaeota ribosomal protein leader". The record is from RNAcentral.